AGAGUUUGAUCAUGGCUCAGGAUGAACGCUAGCGGCAGGCUUAAUACAUGCAAGUCGAGGGGCAGCAGGACUGUAGCAAUACAGUUGCUGGCGACCGGCAAACGGGUGCGGAACACGUACGCAACCUUCCUUUAAGUGAGGGAUAGCCCAGGGAAACUUGGAUUAAUACCUCGUAAUAUUUAAAAGUGGCAUCACUUUUUAAUUAUAGCUCAGGCGCUUAAAGAUGGGCGUGCGACUGAUUAGGUAGUUGGCGGGGUAACGGCCCACCAAGCCUGCGAUCAGUAACUGGUGUGAGAGCACGACCAGUCACACGGGCACUGAGACACGGGCCCGACUCCUACGGGAGGCAGCAGUAAGGAAUAUUGGUCAAUGGACGCAAGUCUGAACCAGCCAUGCCGCGUGGAGGAUGAAGGUCCUCUGGAUUGUAAACUUCUUUUAUCUGGGAAGAAACCCAUAUUUUCUAGUGUGGUUGACGGUACCAGAUGAAUAAGCACCGGCUAACUCCGUGCCAGCCGCCGCGGUAAUAC
Molecule: ribosomal RNA, 527 nt
Filed under: uncultured bacterium
Lineage: Bacteria
Description: bacterial SSU rRNA
Rfam family: Bacterial small subunit ribosomal RNA
Source: RNAcentral